Long non-coding RNA from Colias croceus (clouded yellow), 1243 nucleotides. RefSeq lists it as uncharacterized. Lineage: Eukaryota; Metazoa; Arthropoda; Insecta; Lepidoptera; Pieridae. The record is from RefSeq and is a predicted model, not a curated record. The transcript is spliced from 4 exons.
ACACGUGUCAAUCAUAACACACUUUACAAUUUUUAUUUCUUUUAUAGUUAAGUAUAAUAGUAGUAAUUAGUGUAUAUCGAGUACUUAGACGGUAGUUAGGUAACUCCGCCUGUGUUUGAGGGUGAAUAGAAUAAAUUUUAUAAGAUUAUUUUAUUCUACCUCAUCGCAGCCAGUCCCAAGCCUGGAUAAAGGAGGAGGUGGUAGUUUUGCAUUAAUACAGAAAGUUUCAGAUAUAAUUUGCUCAGUAUGAUGUGAAACACCUCGCUGCCAGUCAAAAAAAUUGAAAACAGUGUUACUUUUUGCGGAUAUUUGUCAUAGGUUUAUAUUAUCUUUUAUAAUCUUCUUAUUAUCUUUCUAAAUUUAUGAUACAACUUAUAUAUUUCAUAUUUUCCAGAUCGCAGAAGACGGACAAACAACACAAAAUAAUAGGUUUAAUAUGACAACAUUAAAUCACAAAAACGCCACAAUUGAUUCCCAGUAGAAAUAGGAAAAUAUAAAAGACCAGUUUCAUCCAUAGGAAGAAAGAUACUACUUAUUUUACCAAUAAAAGGACUUGAGGGCAAAAUAUUUUACAUAUUAGGUACAUAUAAAGUUUUGAUGAAGAAUUUUGAUGAGAAAAAAUAUCAAAAAUGCCACAAAUUACUCUAUAACAUAAAGACAGUUUCAUCAGGAGGAGGAAUGACACAACCAAUAAAAGGAAUAAUUGAAGUCAAAAUAAUUAAACAUAUAUAAAACAGGCUUUGUAUCAGUACAAAAUGGAAUCACCACCAGACGCGCCAGGUGCUCAAAGCAGCGUUACUAAGAAGAAACACGUGAAAGCACUAAACAGACCAUCAUCGUGCUCCGUGGCUUUAUCCGCAUUGCUAGGCUCCUAUUGGUCUUAGCACGAUGUUAUCUAAUAUGUAUGUUUAGCCUAUAAGAUGUUAAUCCGACCGGUUAAUAUAUUAUAUAUUCAAAAUUUUAUGUUUAUCUAUGCACUAUUGUUUGCGUCUAGCCCGGGGUGGGGUAGCAUAUUUUUUGCUUCGAUUAUUAUUUUGUAAAUUGCACCCAAAAAAUAUUCAAGUGUAUUUUCCUACGUUUUUUUAUGUAUAGAUUUUAUUUAAGUUGUAUGUUAUUCGUUUUUUUGUUAUUUUGAUUUUGUAUAAAUUUAUACCUAUAGAUUUUCUUUAAAAAUGAAAAAAUGUAUUACUGUUACCAUAAGUUGAAUAAUAUAGUCAUGUUAAUAAAAUCAUUUUAGUUUAAA